Molecule: ribosomal RNA, 426 nt
Filed under: uncultured bacterium
Lineage: Bacteria
Description: partial 16S ribosomal RNA
Rfam family: Bacterial small subunit ribosomal RNA
Source: RNAcentral
GUGAGGAAUUUUCCUCAAUGGGCGAAAGCCUGACGGAGCAAUGCCGCGUGAAGGAUGAAGGCCUAUGGGUUGUAAACUUCUUUUCUCAGAAAAGAAUUAUGACGGUAUCUGAGGAAUAAGCAUCGGCUAACUCUGUGCCAGCAGCCGCGGUAAGACAGAGGAUGCAAGCGUUAUCCGGAAUGAUUGGGCGUAAAGCGUCUGUAGGUUGUUUAAAAAGUAUUCUGUCAAAGAUUAGGGCUUAACCCUAGAUAGGCAGAAUAAACUUUUAAGCUAGAGUUUGGUAGAGGCAGAGGGAAUUCCCGGUGGAGCGGUGAAAUGCGUAGAUAUCGGGAGGAACACCAAAGGCGAAGGCACUCUGCUGGGCCAAUACUAACACUGAGAGACGAAAGCGAGGGGAGCAAAUGGGAUUAGAUACCCGUGUAGUCC